AGAUCAAAUUGUUGGUCGUGCCUUGGUACGUACUGGCAUUAUUGGUUUCUCCCUUCUGAAGAACCAUGAUGUCAUUAAUUUGGUGUCAUGGGGAAUCAGGACUGUUACUUUGAAAAAAUUAGAGUGUUUAAAGCAGGCCUACGCCUGAAUACAUUAGCAUGGCAUAAUGAAAUAGGACGUUUGAUUCUAUUUUGUUGGUUUCUAGGAUUGACGUA
RNAcentral lists this ribosomal RNA (215 nucleotides) under Campeiostachys nutans. Its description in RNAcentral is "Elymus nutans partial small subunit ribosomal RNA". The stretch from base 38 to 215 matches the Rfam family "Eukaryotic small subunit ribosomal RNA", at positions 685 to 864 of the family's 1831-position model. The record is from RNAcentral. Lineage: Eukaryota; Viridiplantae; Streptophyta; Magnoliopsida; Poales; Poaceae.